This 486-nucleotide ribosomal RNA is filed under the name uncultured bacterium. RNAcentral's name for it is "bacterial SSU rRNA". It matches the Rfam family "Bacterial small subunit ribosomal RNA", at positions 15 to 518 of the family's 1533-position model. The record is from RNAcentral.
GAUCCUGGCUCGAGGACGAACGCUGGCGGCGUGCUUAACACAUGCAAGUUGAACGGUAUGACAUGGAAGCUUGCUGAAGUGUCAUAUAGUAGCGGACGGGUGAGUAAUGCAUGAGAAGCUGCCAUUGGGAGGGGGACAACAGUUGGAAACGGCUGCUAAUACCCCGUAUGCCGGAGGGUGAAAGGGAGUAAUCCGCCCGAUGAGGUGCUCAUGUCCUAUCAGCUGGUUGGUGGGGUAACGGCCUACCAAGGCGACGACGGGUAGCCGGCCUGAGAGGUGAACGGCCACACUGGAACUGAGAUACGGUCCAGACCUCCUACGGGAGGCAGCAGGUGGGGAAUAGUUGGGCAAAGUGGGGGCCAACCUCGACCCAGCGACGCCGCGUGGGGGAAGACGGCCUUCGGGUUGUAAACCUCUUUUGUACGGGAAGAAGGAAGUGACGGUACUGUACGAAUAAGUCCCGGCUAACUACGUGCCAGCCGCUGC